Molecule: long non-coding RNA, 306 nt
Filed under: Serinus canaria (Common canary)
Lineage: Eukaryota; Metazoa; Chordata; Aves; Passeriformes; Fringillidae
Description: lncRNA (ENSSCAG00000014096.1)
Source: RNAcentral
AGUUCUUUAAAUGGAGUUCCUGCAGACUGAAACUUGGAACUGCUAAGUGAGAGGAACGUUGUGAUGACACAAGUGGCUAAGUGCAUUGUGGUACACCUGCUAUCCUGGUUUUUAUAAGUGCUUGAGACAUUUGGAUGAACAGCUGAAAAGAAGAACAAAAAUGCUUAAAAAUCUAACCAUGGAAAAAGCCUAACUACCUAACCAUGAGUCUUCUGAAAUGGGGCACCCACAAGAUAGAUGCAUCUUGACUGUCAGUACUCAAAAAGAAGCUGUUGGUGUGUCCUGUCAGUGAUGAUCUUUGUUCUU